AUGAGAGAGUAUGCGGUUUGCAGAGUUUGUUUGAACCGUUGCGACUAUGAGAGAAAUGAGGACUCUUUCAGCAUGUAUGUGUCAGAAGCCUUCAAAAACCGAGGGGUUGUGGCAUGCAAUGAAAGGGUGCACUUCGACAUCAUUAUAGAAGAGGAGGUGACAUUCGUGGCAAACACUCGUACAUACACUGUAAGGUGCUACAAGGGUCGCACACAUAGUGCAAUGUAUGGGAGUGGUUGGAAGAAGUUUUAUGAAGACAACAAGCUGGGGAAGGGUCAGUUGGUGUAUUUCUUCCUGGAUCAGCCUUCCCCAAUGGCAGCCAUUUUAUUUCUCCAGCUGGGCAACGGCUCUAAAGACGAAGAUCCCAUGGAAGGAGAUGAUGAAGAUGCAGACGAAGAUGAUGAGCAUGGGGGAGCUCCCCAUGACAAUGAUGAAGGCAUUGUUCGCACAAGGGGGUUCGAGUUGAAUGGGAUCGAGGAAUCUGAGCUUCAAGGCUUACUGCCUCUCAGUGAUAGGUUUGUUGGUUUGCCUUUCAUUCACCGUCUCACAAGGACAAAUGUUCAUUUAGGCAUGAUGAAAAUCCCCAAGAAAGUUGCCGCUGCUACGCUUUUUGAAAAACAUGAUUUUGGUAUUGUUUGUAUGGAUGGUGGGAAUUUCAAAAGAAUCCCAUACCGCACUUACGGUGAUGGCCGAAUUGUGAAUGUCAACAAUGUUGUUCUUUUUGGAUUCAAGAACAGCAAGAGUAGCGAGAUUGAUUCAUUUGUGAUCACGAGGAAGCUUGGGUAG
This 786-nucleotide ribosomal RNA is filed under the name Triticum aestivum (bread wheat). Its description in RNAcentral is "partial small subunit ribosomal RNA". The record is from RNAcentral. Lineage: Eukaryota; Viridiplantae; Streptophyta; Magnoliopsida; Poales; Poaceae.